AUCCGUUUUUGAUACCUGCAAGAACACAGGUAGCACUUCAGAUCACACAUAGCAGACUAUUUAACAGGGCUGUGGUCUGUGUUUUGUGUACUUGCUCUAGCACAAACAUAUUAAUAUUGUGUGUGAAGGAGAUUCUUAUUAGUAUAAUUGUUUUUUGUUCUAAGGUAAACAAGCAGAUUUGACCUCAUGCAAUAAAAAGAUUGUUUUCCUGGAUCUACUCAUUUAACGAGUGCAGAAAUAGGACUGACCUAG
Molecule: unclassified non-coding RNA, 252 nt
Filed under: Hevea brasiliensis (rubber tree)
Lineage: Eukaryota; Viridiplantae; Streptophyta; Magnoliopsida; Malpighiales; Euphorbiaceae
Source: RNAcentral